RNAcentral lists this ribosomal RNA (253 nucleotides) under uncultured bacterium. RNAcentral describes it as "partial 16S ribosomal RNA". It matches the Rfam family "Bacterial small subunit ribosomal RNA", at positions 524 to 776 of the family's 1533-position model. The record is from RNAcentral.
UACGGAGGGUGCAAGCGUUGCUCGGAAUUAUUGGGCGUAAAGGGUAGGUAGGUGGUCUCAUUUGUCUGGGGUGAAAGCCUUGAGCUUAACUCGAGAAGUGCCCCAGAAACGGUGAGACUGGAGUCCUGGAGAGGGUCGUGGAAUUCCUGGUGUAGCGGUGAAAUGCGCAGAUAUCAGGAGGAACACCGGUGGCGAAGGCGGGUCUCUGGGCAACAACUGACGCUGAGGAGCGAAAGCGUGGGGAGCGAACAGG